GUUAUAUGGUCAAGCGAAUAAGCGCACACGGUGGAUGCCUUGGCGGUCAGAGGCGAUGAAGGACGUGGCAGCCUGCGAAAAGUAUCGGGGAGCUGGCAACAAGCUUUGAUCCGGUAAUGUCCGAAUGGGGAAACCCACCCGCUUGCGGGUAUCCUGCAGUGAAUACAUAGCUGCUGGAAGCGAACCUGGUGAACUGAAAUAUCUAAGUAACCAGAGGAAAAGAAAUCAACCGAGAUUCCGUAAGUAGCGACGAGCGAACGCGGACUAGCCCUUAAGCUGAUUUGGUUCUAGGAAAACGCUCUGGAAAGAGCGGCCAUAGAAGGUGAUAGCCCUGUAUCUGAAAGGGCCAUUUCAGUGAAGACGAGUAGGGCGGGGCACGUGAAACCCUGUCUGAACAUGGGGGGACCAUCCUCCAAGGCUAAAUACUACUGACCGACCGAUAGUGAACCAGUACCGUGAGGGAAAGGCGAAAAGAACCCCGGAGAGGGGAGUGAAAUAGAACCUGAAACCGUGUGCGUACAAGCAGUAGGAGCUCCGCAAGGAGUGACUGCGUACCUUUUGUAUAAUGGGUCAGCGACUUACUGUUCGUGGCAAGCUUAACCGUAUAGGGGAGGCGAAGGGAAACCGAGUCUGAUAAGGGCGCAUAGUCGCGGGCAGUAGACCCGAAACCGGGUGAUCUAGUCAUGCCCAGGGUGAAGGUGCGGUAACACGCACUGGAGGCCCGAACCCACUCCCGUUGCAAAGGUAGGGGAUGAGGUGUGAUUAGGAGUGAAAAGCUAAUCGAACCCGGAGAUAGCUGGUUCUCCUCGAAAGCUAUUUAGGUAGCGCCUCAUAUGUAUCCUCUCGGGGGUAGAGCACUGUUAUGGCUAGGGGGUCAUCGCGACUUACCAAACCAUUGCAAACUCCGAAUACCGAGACGGACUGUAUGGGAGACACACGGCGGGUGCUAACGUCCGUCGUGAAAAGGGAAACAACCCAGACCCACAGCUAAGGUCCCAAAUUUUGUGCUAAGUGGAAAACCAUGUGGAAAGGCACAGACAGCCAGGAGGUUGGCUUAGAAGCAGCCACCCUUUAAAGAAAGCGUAAUAGCUCACUGGUCGAGUCGGUCUGCGGGGAAGAUUUAACGGGGCUAAGCACAGAACCGAAGCUUGGGGUGCAUAACUUUGUUAUGCGCGGUAGAGGAGCGUUCCGUAAGCCGUUGAAGGUGGAUUGAGAAGUCUGCUGGAGGUAUCGGAAGUGCGAAUGCUGACAUGAGUAACGAUAAUGCGGGUGAAAAACCCGCACGCCGAAAGCCCAAGGUUUCCUUGCGCAACGUUAAUCGGCGCAGGGUGAGUCGGCCCCUAAGGCGAGGACGAAAGUCGUAGUCGAUGGGAAGCAGGUUAAUAUUCCUGCACCUCGCGUAAGUGCGAUGGAGGGACGGAGAAGGUUAGGUGUACCAGGCGUUGGUUGUCCUGGGGAAAGGCGGUAGGUUUGGAUCUUUGGCAAAUCCGGGAUCCUCUAAGACCGAGCACCGAGACGAGCCUUUAAGGCGAAGUCACUGAUACCACGCUUCCAGGAAAAGCUCCUAAGCUUCAGCUUACGCAGACCGUACCGUAAACCGACACAGGUGGGUAGGAUGAGAAUUCUCAGGCGCUUGAGAGAACUCGGGUGAAGGAACUAGGCAACAUGGCACCGUAACUUCGGGAGAAGGUGCACCCUUUUUGGUGGCUCGUGCGAGCUAUAGCUGAAGAGGGUCGCAGUAACCAGGCCGCUGCGACUGUUUAUCAAAAACACAGCACUCUGCAAACACGAAAGUGGACGUAUAGGGUGUGACGCCUGCCCGGUGCUGGAAGGUUAAUUGAUGGGGUCAGCCGCAAGGCGAAGCUCUUGAUCGAAGCCCCAGUAAACGGCGGCCGUAACUAUAACGGUCCUAAGGUAGCGAAAUUCCUUGUCGGGUAAGUUCCGACCUGCACGAAUGGCGUAACGACAGCGGCGCUGUCUCCACCCGAGACUCAGUGAAAUUGAAAUCGCUGUGAAGAUGCAGCGUUCCCGUGGCAAGACGGAAAGACCCCGUGAACCUUUACUAUAGCUUUACACUGAACGUUGAGUUCGUCUGUGUAGGAUAGGUGGGAGGCUAUGAAACCAUGGCGCUAGCUGUGGCGGAGCCAUCCUUGAAAUACCACCCUGUCGUGCUUGACGUUCUAACCUGGGCCCAUUAUCUGGGUCGGGGACCGUGUAUGGUGGGUAGUUUGACUGGGGCGGUCUCCUCCUAAAGAGUAACGGAGGAGCUCGAAGGUACGCUCAGCGCGGUCGGACAUCGCGCACUGUGUGCAAAGGCAUAAGCGUGCUUGACUGCAAGAUCGACGGAUCAAGCAGGUAGGAAACUAGGACUUAGUGAUCCGGUGGUUCUGUAUGGAAGGGCCAUCGCUCAACGGAUAAAAGGUACUCCGGGGAUAACAGGCUGAUACCGCCCAAGAGUUCAUAUCGACGGCGGUGUUUGGCACCUCGAUGUCGGCUCAUCACAUCCUGGGGCUGUAGUCGGUCCCAAGGGUAUGGCUGUUCGCCAUUUAAAGUGGUACGCGAGCUGGGUUCAGAACGUCGUGAGACAGUUCGGUCCCUAUCUGCCAUGGGCGUUGGAGAUUUGAGAGGGGCUGCUCCUAGUACGAGAGGACCGGAGUGGACGAACCUCUGGUGUUCCGGUUGUCACGCCAGUGGCAUUGCCGGGUAGCUAUGUUCGGAAGCGAUAACCGCUGAAAGCAUCUAAGCGGGAAGCGCGCCUCAAGAUGAGAUCUCCCGGGGCACAAGCCCCCUGAAGGAACCAUGUAGACUACGUGGUUGAUAGGUCAGGUGUGUAAGUACAGCAAUGUAUUGAGCUAACUGAUACUAAUGAUCCGUGCGGCUUGACCAUAUAACCU
RNAcentral lists this ribosomal RNA (2894 nucleotides) under Stenotrophomonas maltophilia. Its description in RNAcentral is "bacterial LSU rRNA". It matches the Rfam family "Bacterial large subunit ribosomal RNA". Lineage: Bacteria; Pseudomonadati; Pseudomonadota; Gammaproteobacteria; Lysobacterales; Lysobacteraceae. The record is from RNAcentral.